This 236-nucleotide ribosomal RNA is filed under the name uncultured bacterium. Its description in RNAcentral is "partial 16S ribosomal RNA". It matches the Rfam family "Bacterial small subunit ribosomal RNA", at positions 99 to 334 of the family's 1533-position model. The record is from RNAcentral.
CGAACGGGUGAGUAACGCGUGAGGAACCUGCCUCAAAGGGGGGACAACAGUUGGAAACGACUGCUAAUACCGCAUAAGCCCACGGCUCGGCAUCGAGCAGAGGGAAAAGGAGUGAUCCGCUUUGAGAUGGCCUCGCGUCCGAUUAGCUAGUUGGUGAGGUAACGGCCCACCAAGGCGACGAUCGGUAGCCGGACUGAGAGGUUGAACGGCCACAUUGGGACUGAGACACGGCCCAG